Non-coding RNA from Aedes albopictus (Asian tiger mosquito), 43 nucleotides. Lineage: Eukaryota; Metazoa; Arthropoda; Insecta; Diptera; Culicidae. The record is from Rfam.
UAAGAGGUUCUUAGAACCAUCAAUAAAUCAAAAUAAAAUAUGU